RNAcentral lists this ribosomal RNA (345 nucleotides) under Triticum aestivum (bread wheat). RNAcentral's name for it is "partial small subunit ribosomal RNA". The record is from RNAcentral. Lineage: Eukaryota; Viridiplantae; Streptophyta; Magnoliopsida; Poales; Poaceae.
AUGGGGAAGAAGACUGCAGCGAAGAAACCCCGAGGACGCAAGACAACAGAAGCACCACUACAUCCUUUGGAGGAGUCGCGCAUCAGAACAUGCAUAAGGAACAAUUCAAGGCUGCAAGCACUCGGAAUUCCUGCACUAUCGACAUUGUUUGCAGCCAAAACUGUCAUUUCACCUGAAAAAAAACCUAAGCAUAGUAGUGAUGAUUCUGAAGCUGAGUACCAUCCUAACGAGGACAAUACCAGUGAAGGAGAGUCAUCCGAUGAUAGUUUAGUAGAUGAAACAGAAGCACUGCAGUCCACACCUGCUGCUAGCUCAAACUCUAAGGUGCUAAUUUCCUCCAUCUAG